AUGUUUCACGGUCAUGUCUUCGAUAAUUCGAGCUGUGAGCGUCGCGUCGAUUCGUACUUUCAUAUCUUGGACAUUGAAAUUUGCGUUGCAGCUAUUUAUUCCUUUACAUGAACAUGGCUGUGAGUUAGAAGAAAAAGUAGGGCUGCUAGCUGCUCCAUCUUGAAGAUCAUUGUUUUUUGGACAUUUGAGCAGUGUAAGUGACGAUUAGAUCGCACGAGGUAACAACAAAACGAUAAGAUGGAAGAAUCAGCUGCUGAUUGGAGCCUGAAGGUCACCGCGAUGCAACCGAGUGCACAAAACAGUGAAGCGGGCUGACAGCCUGCAGACGUCAAGGCGAUCGUGUUUGGCACCACAAACCAGAAGGAGGCUUAUUGAUGCCGAUCUGAUUCACGCAGGGCAUGGUGAUCGGCAAAAUGAGCCGCUCUGCAGCGAGUUCGUCUUCGAAUUUUCACCAGGCACAGGGCAAGGUAGAAUCGGUUGGUUGGAAGGAAAAGAGGCAGGUAGGCAGGC
Molecule: long non-coding RNA, 510 nt
Filed under: Neodiprion pinetum (white pine sawfly)
Lineage: Eukaryota; Metazoa; Arthropoda; Insecta; Hymenoptera; Diprionidae
Description: uncharacterized LOC124219526
Source: RNAcentral